Nicotiana sylvestris (wood tobacco) is the source of this 96-nucleotide non-coding RNA. NCBI's taxonomy places the organism in Eukaryota, Viridiplantae, Streptophyta, Magnoliopsida, Solanales, Solanaceae. The record is from Rfam.
UGGACAGAUUAUUAUAUCCGACUGUAUUCACGGUGUGAAACAGGGGAUUACACUAUUUUUAAACGGAAAGUGAAUCAAUUAACAUAAUAGACUCCU